UACGUAGGGGGCAAGCGUUGUUCGUAAUUACUGGGCGUAAAGGGCGCGUAGGCGGCACGGCAAGUCAGGAGUGAAAGGCCUGGGCUCAACCGAGGAACUGCUUUUGAGACUGCCGAGCUAGAGUGCAGAAGGGGCAACUGGAAUUCCCAGUGUAGCGGUGAAAUGCGUAGAUAUUGGGAAGAACACCUGAGGCGAAGGCGGGUUGCUGGGCUGACACUGACGCUGAGGCGCGAAAGCCAGGGGAGCAAACGGG
This 253-nucleotide ribosomal RNA is filed under the name uncultured bacterium. RNAcentral describes it as "partial 16S ribosomal RNA". It matches the Rfam family "Bacterial small subunit ribosomal RNA", at positions 524 to 776 of the family's 1533-position model. The record is from RNAcentral.